This 131-nucleotide ribosomal RNA is filed under the name Chinchilla lanigera (long-tailed chinchilla). Lineage: Eukaryota; Metazoa; Chordata; Mammalia; Rodentia; Chinchillidae. The record is from RNAcentral.
GUCUGUGGCCAUGCCACCCUGAACACUCCUAAUCUCGACUGAUCUUGGAAACUAAGCAGGCUCGGGCCUGGUUAGUACUUGGAUAGGAGAAAAUAAAUAAUAUGUGACUACUGCCCAGGUCAUAGCAGUCU